CUGAAGAUAAUUGGGGUCUUGAGACUGCAUUCAUCAUGCGUGCUCGACCCCUUCCUUCAUCCACACACACCUUUGUGCACUCAUGGGGACCUCGGUCCCCUUUUUACAUACAAACACCUAGUUUAAUGCAUGUCUAUCAUAAAAUGAUAAAAAUA
Molecule: unclassified non-coding RNA, 155 nt
Filed under: uncultured Agaricomycetes
Lineage: Eukaryota; Fungi; Basidiomycota; Agaricomycetes
Description: sequence contains ITS1
Source: RNAcentral